This 469-nucleotide ribosomal RNA is filed under the name uncultured bacterium. RNAcentral describes it as "partial 16S ribosomal RNA". It matches the Rfam family "Bacterial small subunit ribosomal RNA", at positions 28 to 507 of the family's 1533-position model. The record is from RNAcentral.
GAUGAACGCUGGCGGCGUGCUUAACACAUGCAAGUCGAACGGUGAACCCGGAGCUUGCUCUGUGGGAUCAGUGGCGAACGGGUGAGUAACACGUGAGCAACCUGCCCCUGACUCUGGGAUAAGCGCUGGAAACGGCGUCUAAUACUGGAUAUGUGACGUGACCGCAUGGUCUGCGUUUGGAAAGAUUUUUCGGUUGGGGAUGGGCUCGCGGCCUAUCAGCUUGUUGGUGAGGUAAUGGCUCACCAAGGCGUCGACGGGUAGCCGGCCUUAGAGGGUGACCGGCCACACUGGGACUGAGACACGGCCCAGACUCCUACGGGAGGCAGCAGUGGGGAAUAUUGCACAAUGGGCGCAAGCCUGAUGCAGCAACGCCGCGUGAGGGAUGACGGCCUUCGGGUUGUAAACCUCUUUUAGCAGGGAAGAAGCGAAAGUGACGGUACCUGCAGAAAAAGCGCCGGCUAACUACGUG